CUACACGGGUAUCUAAUCCUGUUUGCUCCCCACGCUUUCGCGCCUCAGCGUCAGAUACGGUCCAGAUGGCCGCCUUCGCCACCGGUGUUCUUCCCAAUAUCUACGAAUUUCACCUCUACACUGGGAAUUCCACCAUCCUCUCCCGUCCUCAAGCCGCUCAGUCUCGAGUGCACAUCCGGGGUUGAGCCCCGGGCUUUCACACCCGACUUGAACAGCCGCCUACGCGCCCUUUACGCCCAGUAACUCCGAACAACGCUAGCCCCCUUCGUAUUACCGCGGCUGCUGGCAC
RNAcentral lists this ribosomal RNA (289 nucleotides) under uncultured Rhodospirillales bacterium. Its description in RNAcentral is "partial 16S ribosomal RNA". The record is from RNAcentral. Lineage: Bacteria; Pseudomonadati; Pseudomonadota; Alphaproteobacteria; Rhodospirillales.